Molecule: unclassified non-coding RNA, 181 nt
Filed under: Myrothecium gramineum
Lineage: Eukaryota; Fungi; Ascomycota; Sordariomycetes; Hypocreales; Stachybotryaceae
Description: sequence contains ITS2
Source: RNAcentral
CAACCCUCAGGCCCCCAGUGCCUGGCGUUGGGGAUCGGCUCAGGGGCGACCGCGCAAGCGGCCGCUUCCCGCCGGCCCCGAAAUCUAGUGGCGGUCUCGCUGUAGUCCUCCUCUGCGUAGUAGCACAACCUCGCAGCUGGAACGCGGCGGUGGCCCUGCCGUAAAACACCCCACUUCUGAA